Molecule: ribosomal RNA, 329 nt
Filed under: uncultured eukaryote
Lineage: Eukaryota
Description: partial 18S ribosomal RNA
Rfam family: Eukaryotic small subunit ribosomal RNA
Source: RNAcentral
CCCUUAGAUGUUCUGGGCCGCACGCGCGCUACACUGAUGCAUUCAACGAGUCUAAAACCUGCUCUGAUAGGGGUGGGUAAUCUUUUGAAUGUGCAUCGUGAUUGGGAUAGAUGAUUGCAAUUUUUCAUCUUCAACGAGGAAUGCCCAGUAAACGCAAGUCAUCAGCUUGCAUUGAUUACGUCCCUGCCCUUUGUACACACCGCCCGUCGCUCCUACCGAUUGAAUGAUCCGAUGAAUAUCAUGGAUUGAGGAUGUAAGCAGGUUCGCCUGUCUUCAUCUUCGAGAAGUGAAGUAAAUCUUAUCAUUUAGAGGAAGGAGAAGUCGUAACA